UAGCAUUACCUGCUGCAUCUCUGCUCC
Molecule: non-coding RNA, 27 nt
Filed under: Mus musculus (house mouse)
Lineage: Eukaryota; Metazoa; Chordata; Mammalia; Rodentia; Muridae
Source: RNAcentral